Pundamilia nyererei is the source of this 609-nucleotide long non-coding RNA. RefSeq lists it as uncharacterized. The transcript has 3 exons. NCBI's taxonomy places the organism in Eukaryota, Metazoa, Chordata, Actinopteri, Cichliformes, Cichlidae. The record is from RefSeq and is a predicted model, not a curated record.
GGCAGACAGAGGAGAGCGGAAGUUCGACCAGUUUCCUUAUGUCAACCCCAGUCAUGCUGCAGUCUGGAAUCAACAAGUUAUCCCUCUGGCCUUAUGACACGGUGCUCCAUCAUGCUGGAAAAGGCGUUGAUCUUCACCAAACUGGAUGGUUGGAAGAAGUUGCUGUUUUGGUGCCAUUCUUUAUUCAUGGCUGGGUUCUUUGCCAAAAUUGUGAGUGAGUCCACUCCCUUGAAUGAGAAGCAGGCCCACACAUGAAUGGUCUCAGGAUGUUUUACUGUUGGCAUGAGACAGGACUGAUGGUAGCGCUCACAUUUUCUUCACCGGACAAUCCUUUUUCCAGAUGCCCCAAACAAUGGGAAAGGGGCGUCAAAAGUAUUUGCCUCCCUGUGUUCGCAGAUGCACUCACACCUACCUACUGCCAUUCCCGAGCAAGCUCUGCACUGGUGGCACUCCGAUCCCGCAGCUGAAUCAUGUUUAGGAGACGUUCCUGGCCCUUGCUGGACUUUCUUGUGCACCCUGAAGCAGUCUUAGCAACAACUGCACCUCCUUCCUUGAAGUUCUUGAUGAUUCAAUAAAUGGUUCAUUUACCUGCAGUCUUAGUAGCAACAA